Molecule: ribosomal RNA, 424 nt
Filed under: Vibrio vulnificus
Lineage: Bacteria; Pseudomonadati; Pseudomonadota; Gammaproteobacteria; Vibrionales; Vibrionaceae
Description: bacterial SSU rRNA
Rfam family: Bacterial small subunit ribosomal RNA
Source: RNAcentral
UUUGAUCAUGGCUCAGAUUGAACGCUGGCGGCAGGCCUAACACAUGCAAGUCGAGCGGCAGCACAGAGAAACUUGUUUCUCGGGUGGCGAGCGGCGGACGGGUGAGUAAUGCCUGGGAAAUUGCCCUGAUGUGGGGGAUAACCAUUGGAAACGAUGGCUAAUACCGCAUGAUGCCUACGGGCCAAAGAGGGGGACCUUCGGGCCUCUCGCGUCAGGAUAUGCCCAGGUGGGAUUAGCUAGUUGGUGAGGUAAGGGCUCACCAAGGCGACGAUCCCUAGCUGGUCUGAGAGGAUGAUCAGCCACACUGGAACUGAGACACGGUCCAGACUCCUACGGGAGGCAGCAGUGGGGAAUAUUGCACAAUGGGCGCAAGCCUGAUGCAGCCAUGCCGCGUGUGUGAAGAAGGCCUUCGGGUUGUAAAGCA